UACGAAGGGUGCAAGCGUUAAUCGGAAUUACUGGGCGUAAAGCGCGCGUAGGUGGUUCGUUAAGUUAGGAGUGAAAGCCCCGGGCUCAACCUGGGAAUUGCUUCUAAAACUGGCGAGCUAGAGUAUGGUAGAGGGUGGUGGAAUUUCCUGUGUAGCGGUGAAAUGCGUAGAUAUAGGAAGGAACAUCAGUGGCGAAGGCGACCACCUGGACUGAUACUGACACUGAGGUGCGAAAGCGUGGGGAGCAAACAGGAUUAGAUACCCCGGUAGUCCCUGAG
Molecule: ribosomal RNA, 278 nt
Filed under: uncultured prokaryote
Description: partial 16S ribosomal RNA
Rfam family: Bacterial small subunit ribosomal RNA
Source: RNAcentral